RNAcentral lists this ribosomal RNA (622 nucleotides) under uncultured fungus. RNAcentral describes it as "eukaryotic LSU rRNA". It matches the Rfam family "Eukaryotic large subunit ribosomal RNA", at positions 36 to 606 of the family's 3401-position model. Lineage: Eukaryota; Fungi. The record is from RNAcentral.
UUGCAUAUCAAAAAGCGGAGGAAAAGAAACUAACAAGGAUUCCCCUAGUAACGGCGAGUGAAGCGGGAAGAGCUCAAAUUUGAAAUCUGGCAGUCUUCGAUUGUCCGAGUUGUAAUCUAUAGAGGCGUUUUCCGUGCCGGACCGUGUCCAAGUCUCCUGGAAAGGAGUAUCAAAGAGGGUGAUAAUCCCGUACUUAACACGACCACCGGUGCUCUGUGAUACGUCUUCUACGAGUCGAGUUGUUUGGGAAUGCAGCUCAAAAUGGGUGGUGAAUUCCAUCUAAAGCUAAAUAUUGGCGAGAGACCGAUAGCGAACAAGUACCGUGAGGGAAAGAUGAAAAGCACUUUGGAAAGAGAGUUAAACAGUACGUGAAAUUGUUGAAAGGGAAACGAUUGAAGUCAGUCGUGUUCUUUGGAUUCAGCCAGUUCUGCUGGUCUACUUCCUUGGAACGGGUCAACAUCAGUUUUGUCCGGUGGAUAAAGGUAGUAGGAAUGUGACUUCUCCGGAAGUGUUAUAGCCUAUUAUCACAUACACUGGGUGAGACUGAGGACUGCAGCUCGCCUUUAUGGCCGGCCUUCGGGCACGUCGAGCUUAGGAUGUGACAUCCCAGCGAGCACCGGAU